Schistosoma haematobium is the source of this 45-nucleotide non-coding RNA. NCBI's taxonomy places the organism in Eukaryota, Metazoa, Platyhelminthes, Trematoda, Strigeidida, Schistosomatidae. The record is from Rfam.
AUCCAACUGACGAGUCCCAGAUAGAAUGAAACACGUGCCCUAGAU